GUGGCUGAGUGGCCGAAAGCAACGCACUGCUAAUGCGUUGGCUCCGUAAGGGGCCCGUGGGUUCGAAUCCCACCCUCACCGCCA
RNAcentral lists this transfer RNA (84 nucleotides) under Candidatus Berkelbacteria bacterium. RNAcentral describes it as "tRNA-Ser". It matches the Rfam family "tRNA". From Rfam's summary of the family: Transfer RNA (tRNA) molecules are approximately 80 nucleotides in length. Their secondary structure includes four short double-helical elements and three loops (D, anti-codon, and T loops). Further hydrogen bonds mediate the characteristic L-shaped molecular structure. tRNAs have two regions of fundamental functional importance: the anti-codon, which is responsible for specific mRNA codon recognition, and the 3' end, to which the tRNAs corresponding amino acid is attached (by aminoacyl-tRNA synthetases). tRNAs cope with the degeneracy of the genetic code in two manners: having more than one tRNA (with a specific anti-codon) for a particular amino acid; and 'wobble' base-pairing, i.e. permitting non-standard base-pairing at the 3rd anti-codon position. Lineage: Bacteria; Candidatus Berkelbacteria. The record is from RNAcentral.